UGGGGAAUAUUGGACAAUGGGCGAAAGCCUGAUCCAGCCAUGCCGCGUGUGUGAAGAAGGCCUUCGGAUUGUAAAGCACUUUAAGUUGGGAGGAAGGGCAUUAACCUAAUACGUUAGUGUUUUGACGUUACCGACAGAAUAAGCACCGGCUAACUCUGUGCCAGCAGCCGCGGUAAUACAGAGGGUGCAAGCGUUAAUCGGAAUUACUGGGCGUAAAGCGCGCAUAGGUGGUUUGUUAAGUUGGAUGUGAAAGCCCCGGGCUCAACCUGGGAACUGCAUCCAAAACUGGCAAGCUAGAGUACGGUAGAGGGUGGUGGAAUUUCCUGUGUAGCGGUGAAAUGCGUAGAUAUAGGAAGGAACACCAGUGGCGAAGGCGACCACCUGGACUGAUACUGACACUGAGGUGCGAAAGCGUGGGGAGCAAACA
RNAcentral lists this ribosomal RNA (427 nucleotides) under uncultured bacterium. Its description in RNAcentral is "partial 16S ribosomal RNA". It matches the Rfam family "Bacterial small subunit ribosomal RNA", at positions 355 to 774 of the family's 1533-position model. The record is from RNAcentral.